RNAcentral lists this ribosomal RNA (252 nucleotides) under uncultured Odoribacter sp. RNAcentral's name for it is "partial 16S ribosomal RNA". It matches the Rfam family "Bacterial small subunit ribosomal RNA", at positions 524 to 776 of the family's 1533-position model. The record is from RNAcentral. Lineage: Bacteria; Pseudomonadati; Bacteroidota; Bacteroidia; Bacteroidales; Odoribacteraceae.
UACGUAGGGGGCAAGCGUUAUCCGGAUUUACUGGGUGUAAAGGGUGCGUAGGCGGUUUUUUAAGUUAGUGGUUAAACGUCGGGGCUUCACCUUGAUUUGCCAUUAAUACUGUAAGACUCGAGUUCAGACGAGGUAGGCGGAAUAAGUUAAGUAGCGGUGAAAUGCUUAGAUAUAACUUAGAACUCCGAUUGCGAAGGCAGCUCACUGGACUGCAACUGACACUGAGGCUCGAAAGUGUGGGUAUCAAACAGG